Molecule: ribosomal RNA, 253 nt
Filed under: uncultured bacterium
Lineage: Bacteria
Description: partial 16S ribosomal RNA
Rfam family: Bacterial small subunit ribosomal RNA
Source: RNAcentral
UACGUAGGGACCGAGCGUUAUCCGGAUUCAUUGGGCGUAAAGAGCUCGUAGGCGGCUAUUCAAGUCGAACGUGAAAUCUCGGAGCUCAACUCCGAGCCUGCGUUCGAUACUGGGUAGCUAGAGUCUGGUAGGGGGAUCUGGAAUUCCUGGUGUAGCGGUGGAAUGCGCAGAUAUCAGGAGGAACACCGGUGGCGAAGGCGGGAUCCUGGGCCAGUACUGACGCUGAGGAGCGAAAGCGUGGGGAGCAAACGGG